RNAcentral lists this ribosomal RNA (263 nucleotides) under uncultured archaeon. RNAcentral's name for it is "partial 16S ribosomal RNA". It matches the Rfam family "Archaeal small subunit ribosomal RNA", at positions 748 to 1009 of the family's 1478-position model. The record is from RNAcentral.
CAGCCCUAAACCGAUGCGCGUUAGGUGUAUCGGUGACCACGAGUCACCGAGGUGCCGAAGGGAAACCGUGAAACGUGCCGCCUGGGAAGUACGGUCGCAAGGCUGAAACUUAAAGGAAUUGGCGGGGGAGGCACCACAACGGGUGGAGCCUGCGGUUUAAUUGGAUUCAACGCCGGAAAUCUUACCGGGACCGACAGCAACAUGAAGGCCAGGCUGAAGACUUUGCCGGAUUAGCUGAGAGGAGGUGCAUGGCGUAGUCGUGU